UAUUGGUCAGGAGGUGGGUGGAAAGGAAAGUUAUCAGAGGCAAGAAAGGUAGUUGUUAUGUAUUCGGUAAGACUGUCCCAGAUCGUGUAUCCCUGAGGGAAGAGUUCAGAAAACACAAGGCCCCUCCUGCGUGGGUUGUUGUGGCUGCAUUUAUCAAAGUAUUACAAGAACAGGGUGAGCUCAAAAGAACCGGCUGGUUUACCAGCCAGGAGGAGAGUUCUAGAAAACCUGGAGAAAUCUGGGGAGCUACAGAGUUCUCAGUUCUACCUGGUAAAUGGUAACACUUAGAAGUCCUUUGAGCAGCAAAGGACAAUUAAAGCUGACAUGAGGCCGGGCGCGGUGGCUCACGCCUGUAAUCCCAGCACUUUGGGAGGCCGAGGCGGGCGGAUCACGAGGUCAGGAGAUCGAGACCAUCCUGGCUAACACGGUGAUACCCUGUCUCUACUAAAAAUACAAAAAAAUUAGCCGGGCGUGGUGGCGGGCGCCUGUAGUCCCAGCUGCUGUGGAGGUUGAGGCAGGAGAAUGGCGUGAACCCGGGAGGCGGAGCUUGCAGUGAGCCGAGAUCACAUCACUGCACUCCAACCUGGACGACAGAGCUCCGUCUCAAAAAAAAAAAAUGCUGAAAUGAAAGGAACCCUCUUUAAGGGUACACUUUGAUGAGACUCCAUGAGGGUGGACCACACUGCAGGUAGGGAGUUGGUGGCCGCAUCCAGCCUGGCCAGUGGGGCGGGAGGGGCUGCUGUGGGGUCAGUGGGUCCGGAAUAAGAUGCUGGAAACUUCUCCCUCCAUGGCUGACUGGGCAUUCUCUUUGCUUGGCCUGUGGCUCCCGUGGGUAAAUUCAUGUCUUGCUAUGUGAUGAAGAGAUUUCUCCGGGGAAGAGGGGGAGGUGUUUGGCCCAGGAAGGACCCAGUGACCUGCAGAUCAAAGACGGCCUCCCUACCUCAGUAAUGGGCACCAGAGAAAAGCCUGCUGCCAGCCGUCCAUUGGAAAUGGGCCCAACAGAACCAAUGCUGUCUGUGCUUGGGGUGUGGGGGGUAGAAGAGAAAGCAAAAGAAAACCGAAACCUUCCUUAAUAAUGAACAGAUGACACGUGAUAGUUAGCAAGAUGUAGGACACAGUUGUAACUCUCCAUGAAAUCAACAAAGAGAAAAUCGAGUGUUGGAUAUUUCAUGCAUAAUUUUUUGAUAAAAUCAUAGGAUUGCCUGCUGCAACAUCCUUCAUUUCACAGUUGACCAUUACAGAAUGAUGCUGAAGGGAGUCACAUUGCAAAAACAACUGAGCUCCUUCUCAUCCUUCACGAACGCCUCUCUUUGAGGUCAACCCACCCCGUUGCGAGGCCCCUAUCUUUUCUCCUUGGCCAGCUUCUCUUUCAGGGUGAACUGCCUGAUCUUCACUGCGGUGGCCUUGCCUGGCUCCCAGCAGAGGUUCUCCAAAGUCACUUUCAUCAACAUCACAGAAUCCUACAUUUCUUUUUUUUUUUUUUUUUUUUGCAAGCAUUGCAAUUUUACUUGAAAUUUGCAUUGUAAAUAUGACUGUGGAAUAUUUACUUAAGAGAGCUGGUUCUGCAAAGACAUGGAAGAGAUCUGGGAGGGGGUGUGUGUGUGGGAAUAAGUGAUAUCGUUAGUAAAUGAGCUGCUUCAUGGAGAACACUUUCAGAAGUGGUCAGCCUGGCCCCGUCUCUGCUAAAAAUACCAAAAAAAAAAAAAAAAA
Long non-coding RNA from Macaca fascicularis (crab-eating macaque), 1710 nucleotides. NCBI's taxonomy places the organism in Eukaryota, Metazoa, Chordata, Mammalia, Primates, Cercopithecidae. The record is from Ensembl.